AUUAAAAAUAUUAUUAUUUUUAAAAUUUCAUUAAUUUUUAAUUAAAAUAAUAUAAUAAUUUAUUAAUUUUAAGAAAAAUUGAAUUUUUAUUAUAGAUUAUAGUAUUGAAAAAUAAAUUUUAUAAAUGGUUUAAAGAAAAUAAAUAUUGUACCUUGUGUAUCAGGGUUUAUUAAAAAUAGAUUAAUUAUUUAAUUAUCUCGAAUUUAAAAGAUUUAAUUAUUUAUAAAUUUUAUUGUAGAAUAAAUAUUUAAAAUAAAUAAUUAGUAAUGAAAUGUUAUUCGUUUUUAAAUAUAUCUAGUUUUUUAAGAAAAAAAUUUAAUUUUUUUAAUAAUUUUAAAAUUUAUAAUUUUUUAUUUUUUUUAAUAUUAUUAUUUUAUAUAUUAAGGGAUAAGCUUUAAUAUAAAUAACUAUAAUUAAAUUUUAGUUUUAAAUUUUAUAGGAUUAAUAAUUUUUUUUAUUAAGUUUUUAAUAAUUUAAUUUAGAAAUAGUAAAAUUUUUAUUUAAUUUAGUUUUUUUAUUAAAAUAUUUUUGUUAAAUAAUUAUUUAAAAGAAAUAAUGAUAAAAUUAGUAUAGAUAUUUUUUGUUUAUUAAAGUUUAAUAAAAAUAUAGAUUAUAAGAAUUCGGCAAAUUUAUUUUUCAAAUGUUUAAUAAAAACAUUUCUUUUUGAUUAUAAUUUAAAGUAGGGCCUGCCCACUGAAAGUUUGAAGGGCCGCAGUAUUUUGACUGUGCAAAGGUAGCAUAAUCAUUAGUUUUUUAAUUGAAAGCUGGAAUGAAUGGUUUAAUGAAAAAAUAACUUUUUUUAAUUUAAUAAUUUAGAAUUUUAUUUUUAAGUUAAAAAGCUUAAAUUUAUUUAUAAGACGAGAAGACCCUAUAGAGUUUUAUUUUAGUUUUAUUAAAAAUUUUUAGAAUUUAAUAAUUUUAAUAAAAUUAAAAUUUGGUUGGGGUGAUUAAAAAAUUAAAUAAACUUUUUUUUAUAAAUACAUUUAUUUAUGAAUUUUUGAUCCAAUUAUAUUGAUUAAAAGAUUAAAUUACCUUAGGGAUAACAGCGUAAUUUUUUUUUAGAGUUCAAAUUAAAAAAAAAGUUUGCGACCUCGAUGUUGGAUUAAAAUAUAAUGUUGGUGUAGAAGCUGAUAUAUUAGGUCUGUUCGACCUUUAAAAUUUUACAUGAUCUGAGUUUAGACCGGUGUGAGCCAGGUCGGUUUCUAUCUUUAAAAAAUUAUUAUAUUUUAGUACGAAAGGACCAAAUAUAAAUUUAAAAAAUUUUAAUUUGAAUAUAAUU
RNAcentral lists this ribosomal RNA (1279 nucleotides) under Nephus reunioni. RNAcentral's name for it is "16S ribosomal RNA". The stretch from base 1039 to 1197 matches the Rfam family "Archaeal large subunit ribosomal RNA", at positions 2542 to 2701 of the family's 2987-position model. The record is from RNAcentral. Lineage: Eukaryota; Metazoa; Arthropoda; Insecta; Coleoptera; Coccinellidae.